This 369-nucleotide ribosomal RNA is filed under the name uncultured organism. RNAcentral describes it as "bacterial SSU rRNA". It matches the Rfam family "Bacterial small subunit ribosomal RNA", at positions 526 to 896 of the family's 1533-position model. The record is from RNAcentral.
CGUAGGGGGCAAACGUUGUCCGGAUUUACUGGGUGUAAAGGGUGCUCAGGCGGUUUUGUAAGUCAGAAGUGAAAUCCUAGGGCUUAACUCUGGAACUGCUUUUGAUACUGCAAGGCUUGAAUAUGGAAGAGGAGGGCGGAAUUUCUGGUGUAGCAGUGAAAUGCGUAGAUAUCAGAAAGAACACCAGUGGCGAAGGCGGCCCUCUGGUCCAUUAUUGACGCUAAAGCACGAAAGCCGUGGGGAGCAAAACAGGAUUAGGUACCCUGGUAGUCCACGCCUUAAACGAUGAAUACUAGACGUUGGGGUUAAACUCAGUGUCGCAGCUAACGCAUUAAGUAUUCCACCUCGGGGAGUACGAUCGCAAGGUUG